Molecule: non-coding RNA, 64 nt
Submitted as: unclassified sequences
Source: Rfam
AAUCCCCUGCUUUGCCAAAGUCCUGCGUUCCACGCGGGGUACCUUGUAGGCAAAGUGGUGGCUU